UCUUUGACAAUUGCAGUAAAAAAAAAAACAAAUUCAGAGCAAGCAGAAACGAAAAGCACCGAUAGUAAAGAGAUCUGCGAACUGAAGUAAAAACAAGAUAAAACUCAGCGCGUAUGGAGAAACCACUAAGAGGCUGAACAGGCUUAAAACCUCAAAAAGGUAUGUCUGCCAGAACGAUUCUAGUGACCAUCCCCUCCGGGGUCAAUGAAAAUUGUGUUGUGUGAACGUAUUAGAGUACACGAUUCAAGUGUUCAGAUAGAAUGCAAUUUUUACAUAGCGCCGUUGGCUUGCAAAAAAACUUGUAACUGGGAAACGUUCUCCAUUCAGUCUUCACUAGCUUGACUUGAAAAUGAAAUACUAACAUUUCAUAUUGCUAAAAUGUCACGCUCAUUUGACUAUUGCAUAAAUCGAUUAUAAGGAUGAUCGUAACUCCGCCUGCAUGAUCGCGGGGUGAACCGAGUAGCCCUGUGAUUAUGUUGCCGGUCCCAAGCCCGGAAAAAGGAGGAGGGUUCAUGGGUCAGGGCCAGCUCCCUACCCAAGGUAAAAACAACCACAGGCUCACAGAACCCAUAGAUGAAUACUGAAACCGAAAGAACGACGAUCCGUAACUACCUCGAACAAGGAUGGAUUAUAAGCAAAAAAGAAGAAUAGCACCUUGCGGAUGCCCUUUUUCACCGAAUCUGAAAGCGCCCUCAGCAGAGAUCUAGUGCUGAAUUUGUUAUCUAGCCACACCAAGUAAUCCCCAGUACCUCUUUCUUAAAACGAAUGGAGCCAAUUUAUGUUUAUCCUGUAACAUUCAUCUAGUACGUUGAAGCAACCUAAAAAACGGCAAGCCUUCUGCAGAAGAAAGGAUAAAGUCACCCUCCGGAAAAGAAGUAGAAACCAGCUACUUAGUGCUUGUUGAAUUGAAAACUGCUGUUUGAUUGAAUUUUCUUGUACUUGUAAAUAUCGUAUUGCGUGUGUCGCAACGCCACCCGAUGAAAAAACAAACCAGAAACCAAUUACUUAACGAUUCUGGUUUAAACGUAAACAUUUCGUUGUAAUGUUGUAACGCAAACGUACGCGUUCGGUUGUUUACCAAGUUGGAAGAAAGUCAUUCAACUGCGGACCCGGUUGUGUUUUGUUUACCGCAUCGGUUACGCCGCUUGAAGUUUAUUGUUUUACGAAUUUACUGGAAAUUCCUCUUCCACUUUUUACUGUUCCGAAAAAUCAGCAGGAUAUGGACCGCUACAAGGACCAUCCACUCGCGCAAUACCAAGCAGAAACAGUUGGCGUUCUUUUUUCUACGAUAAUCAUUAAAGUCAACCUUGCAACAGGAUUUGAAGGUGUUGAAAGUAAUUGCGAAUCUUUAUCCCGCAGGGCUGCGCAGCCUUGAUAUUGAAUCAAUAGUGCCGAAGUGGCCAGUCAGAUGACAAAAAACCAAAAAACCAAAAAAAUAACUCCGCGAUUAUCAGUUCAACGCACCUUGCGUAUAGAAAACGUUGCUGUUGUGCAUCCAUGUUGGAAAAGCCCAUAAAUAUGUCGCUUAUAACAUGUAAGCGUACACUAAUAAUAUUAAGGCCUAGUUGGAGUAACGGAUCCGACGAGAGUUAAGAAGCUAUUAUAAGUCGCCGACGUUUCCGAGGUCAAAAACCUGCCGCACCAUGCAGAAGACACUUUGGCUAGAGAAUUUGAAUAAAAUAUUCCAUAAAUAGGAAACCGACAUUUAGAGAACUUACACCUAAAAACGAAUGCUCAAGUUUCCGAAGAAGGUACCAUCUAUUACCAGCCCAUUUUGAACCCGGAAGCGACCCGUGGUUUCAGAAGGCAGGCAAAAAAACCUUUUAAUACUAGUGGCAUCUGCGGUGCGUGUUGUCAAGGUACUGCAGUGGCACCUUAAAUAGGGGUUUAAGAAAAAGGGCGGGUCAUCUGCAAAAAUCGAAUGGGCGAAAAGCUUCAGGUUAUGCCCAUACCACGGUCUCGUAUAUUGUAUACAAGAGCACAAUCUUAAGGGGUGAUUCUUCGAUACAAAUUUAGGUCUAUAGGGUUCUGGAGCUGCUUUUUGAAAUUUGGAAAUUGAUUGAAAGAUUUUUUAUUUGUUUAUGUCAGAAGAGAUUGACUAAAAUUAACUUGAUGGGAUUGAAACUGGUAGAGUUUUUCGUGGUCGUUUAGGCCCUCGAGGGAUAUAAUUUUGUUUUGCAAAACCGAGGGGCUUGCAUCUUCAGAACUGAUUCUGCGUCUAGCAAACCACCUAAAGAUACAAAUCAUUUUCCUUUCCUUAAAUUUUAAUUUAACGUUUGGUGCGAAAUGGUAAGUUCAAAAAUUCGUGGUACAUUUAUUAAGUUCGUUCGGAAUGAUCUUUAGAACAUGAUGUUAUUUUAGUUUUCCGUCUAGGAUUAUCCCUAUGUUUUAAUAAUUAUCGUAAUUAUUCAUAUCAUUUGAUGAAAAAACCUUGCAACUGUUUGAAUGUACAUGACAAUCAGAUCAUCCGAAUGUAUUAAAAUUGCCGUGAACUUGAGAUAGCAACAAAUCGGAUGUUUAAAGUUUUUAAGUUCUUCUGAUUUGCGUCAUCUAAAUUGAGUGAUUAUUUAGCAGUACCGGGCGGCAACACACGCAUGGAUUGGAAUCAGAGCCGCCUUCACAGGUGUGAGGCUUAACGAUACCUGCACGUAAUUGCCAUCACCAUCUGCUGCGAGUAUUCUGCAGGCAACUGCUCCUGGUGCAUGGUCGGCAGGGUAAAUGCACUCAGUGCAGCGGCGUCAUCGAACCCGCUGAUCGACACCGUUAGGUGCAGCUCCGUCGCGACGACGCCAUGCAUCGACCCUUGGGAGGCCGAUGAACCUCCAUUGAACGCUAGGCGCGUAAGUGUGAAUGAAAGUAUUCAAUUAGUACUAUUGCAGAGAAAAAAGUUUGGUGGCCGUUCCAUAAAGCGGAAGCGCCGAUUUGAGUGCCACAAAAAUUCACCAGUGAAUAACCAAAAAGCAAUUUGUUGACCUCGAGACCUUGAAACCCGGAAACGUCUUUCGGUCGUUAGACGCAACCUCAGGCCUGCUUCAGAUGCGGAAGGAGAACGAACGUCCUCUUCUCCAUCUCUGUCGGUUUUGCUCUUGAAAUUCCACAGAAACAGGCCAACAUUUGAAACGCUACCGGCCUCUCCACAACGACUUAUUCAAUAUCAGGACCAUUCUAACCGAAAUACCUCCCCCUGAUCAGAUUUAUAACCGACAUAAACGGCCCUGACACACACAAGGUCGCAAAAUACGUUGGCGUUGCUUUGUCCGCUCCUUCUGCUUUAGCGGUGCGAAAAAAUCACAAAACGAAAAGUCGCCAGUUGUCCUCGAAAAGUUAGUUCACCUUCCUUGCAACUUCUUCUUCGCGCCGAACGAAGAACGACUUGGCAACCGACGUAAUCGUUCUCGACAUUGAACUUACUUUGUUUUGGUAAUCGAUCAUCGAAUCGGAUAUGCCGUAACGAAUUAAACGGCUAAUGCUAUGGAUUUUAGGAGGCACUUGUUUUCGCUAGACAAUUGCUUUUGGCACAACCAGUUGCGGUUAAAGGAUAUUCAAUGGGUGACCCCAAUAAUGGGAUGUGAACUGAUUCCGAACUCGUUUUUCAUAUUGUCCGGCGUUUUAAUCUAAAUAUUUUCCGCAAUAAAAUUCACUUGAACUGAUUGUGAAUAAGUUCGUAUUUUUUCUCGCAGAGGGCGGUCGACCGCCCCCUUUUUCCGUCCCCAAAAUCGAGGUCAGUCACACCAACUAGAAGGCUCUCGACCUCAAUUGCGCUGUUUGACGAUUACAGCGCUCGGCGCAUUUUUCCUCCUCGUUGCCUACAUUUACGAACACUAUUCGAGCACGCAUCAUUGCAAGACAAUUUUCUCGAGUGUCUUCGAUUGAGGGAAACUAUGUGACAAUAACGACGAGUAUAACAUAGCAAUAUUUAUCUGUGAUCUUGGCUUACAUUAGCAAACUUAAUACUUAUGUGCACGUCUGUUCAGUAUACAGUGAGUUAGUAAAUAAGUGCAACAAAUUUGAGGGGGUGAUUCUGCAUGAGGAAAAUCCACGGCUCCAAGCUCAUUUUCGGCAUCGGUUUACCAUUAAUGGAUGGCCACAAGAAGAGUUACUUAUGUUCUUCUUGAGGACAUAUCUCUACAGUUGAGACAACACUUAUAGUACAUGCCAACACACUUCAGCAUCAACACAGCUUUAUGUUGGGAGUCGAAACAGUGAAGAUUCAGCAGCAUGAGGAGAGAAGUAGAUGAAGAAGACUAAGCAACGAUGACAAGAUCCUGCGCCAUAACGAAGCAAUGAUAUAUGACGAUAGUCUUAGAUUUUUAGGAUAGGUUUAGAAUUAAUUUCCAAUAAGAAUUAGGUUAAGUACUGCCAUAGAGUAAAAUGCAGUGAACACGUAAAUCAACUGUGAUCAAUGUAAUGAAAUUAAAGGGUUCCCAAUGUUCUUCAGAUCACAAGAA
This is a long non-coding RNA of Dendroctonus ponderosae (mountain pine beetle), 4448 nucleotides long. RefSeq lists it as uncharacterized. The transcript has 2 exons. The record is from RefSeq and is a predicted model, not a curated record. NCBI's taxonomy places the organism in Eukaryota, Metazoa, Arthropoda, Insecta, Coleoptera, Curculionidae.